GCUUGUCUCAAAGAUUAAGCCAUGCAUGUCUAAGUAUAAACAACUUUAUACUGUGAAACUGCGUACAGCUCAUUAUAUCAGUUAUAAUUUAUUUGAUGGUGAUUUACUACAUGGAUAACCGUGGUAAUUCUAGAGCUAAUACAUGCGUAAGAUCCUGACUAACGAAGGGACGUAUUUAUUAGAUACAACCGACCUCCUUCUGGAGCCUUUUGUCGACUCAUAGUAACUGUUCGAAGCGCACGGCCUCGCGCCGGCGCUAGUUCAUUCAAAUUUCUGCCCUAUCAGCUUUCGACGGUAGUGUAGUGGACUACCGUGGCGCUAACGGGUGACGGAGAAUUAGGGUUCGGUUCCGGAGAGGGAGCCUGAGAAACGGCUACCACAUCCAAGGAAGGCAGCAGG
Molecule: ribosomal RNA, 399 nt
Filed under: Spongomonas minima
Lineage: Eukaryota; Cercozoa; Imbricatea; Spongomonadida; Spongomonadidae
Description: partial small subunit ribosomal RNA
Rfam family: Eukaryotic small subunit ribosomal RNA
Source: RNAcentral